Long non-coding RNA from Ictalurus punctatus (channel catfish), 2256 nucleotides. The record is from Ensembl. Lineage: Eukaryota; Metazoa; Chordata; Actinopteri; Siluriformes; Ictaluridae.
UUCUCUCUGUCUCUCUCUCUCUGUCUCUCUCUCUCUCUGUCUCUCUCUUUAUUCUCUCUGUCUCUCUCUCUCUCUCUCUCUCUGUCUCUCUCUCUCUCUGUCUCUAUCUCUCUGUCUCUCUCUAUCUCUUUAUUUCUCUCUGUCUCUCUCUCUGUCUCUCUCUGUGUCUCUCUCUGUCUCUCUAUCUCUUUAUUUCUCUGUCUCUCUCUCUGUCUCUCUCUAUCUCUUUAUUUCUCUCUCUCUCUCUAUCUCUUUAUUUCUCUCUGUCUCUCUCUCUCUCUCUCUCUCUCUCUCUCUCUCUCUCUCUCUGUGUCUCUCUCUGUGUCUCUGUGUCUCUCUCUGUGUCUCUCUAUUUCUUUAUUUUCUCUCUGUCUCUCUCUAUCUCUCUCUCUCUCUCUCUCUCUGUGUCUCUCUCUAUGUCUCUCUCUGUGUCUCUCUAUUUCUUUAUUUCUCUCUGUCUCUCUCUCUGUCUCUCUCUAUUUCUUAUUUAUCUCUGUCUCUCUCUCUGUCACUCUAUCUCUUUAUUUCUCUGUCUCUGUCUCUCUGUCUCUAUCUUUCUUUCUCGCUGUCUCACUCUGUCUCUCUCUAUCUCUUUCUCUCUCUCUCUGUGUCUCUCUCUCUAUUUCUUUCUGUCUCUCUCUUUCUCUCCCCCCCCCUCUCUCUUUCUCACUCUCUUUCUCUUUCUCUCACUUUCUCGCUCUCUCUGUUUCUCUCUUUCUCGCUCUUUCUCUCUUAUCUCUCUCUCUCUCUUUCUCUCUCUCUCACUUAUCUCUUUCUCUCUCUCUCUCUCUCUCUCUCUCUCUCUCUCUCUCUCUCUCUCUCUCUCCCCCUCUCUGAAAAGCCGUAAAAACGCGUGGUGUGUUUGCGCUCCUGGCCCAGGAGGUCGUACGCUGAUAAAUCCAGUCCUGUUCCAGAGCAGUCCAGCUCGCCUUAUCAUCAGCAAACGUCCUGAACCGUUUCAAAGUUCAGGCACGGUGGCUGCUGUCACACAUCCCCAAUCUCGUUCCACACUCCUGCAGGAGGGUUAACAAGCUCUACUUCACACACGCUGCUGAAUCACGUUAACACCUCACACUUCGGAAGGUGGGGAGCAAAUUCUGGCGUUCAAAAGCGCAACCGUAAUGAAUUCUGCGAUGGAGUCUGGGUGUCUGGGUAGAAACUGAUCGGUUUGAUCGGUUUGUCCGCAUGUUCUUUGAAAUUCAAACAAUAAAAAAAUCACACGAAGCUGUUAAAUAUGUGCACAUAUGACCCCCCCCCCCCCUAAUAAAAAUAAAAAAAAAAACAGUCAGCCAGUUUGUCUUCUGAACCUGAACUUAAAUCAGAUAAUAUUAAAGCAAACAACAACAACAACAACAACAACAACAACAAAACCCAACCCCGUGCGGCUGCUAUGACAAAAAUAUCAUACCGUUGCCAUUUCUACAUGAUAUAUACGGUAGUCUUGCGAACAAACAGUACCGUUUUACUAAAAAAAAAAAUGUGGGUUUGAUGAUAAAUUUAUUUCAUAUUUCAUUUCAUCCCAUUGCUAUACAGAGGAAAGCGGGACUAGCGUAAGGCUGGGCGAUACGACCGUGUACACUCGAUAUUGUGAUCAACCGUGCCACGUUACCAUUUUACCGGUUUCAUUGUUAUUGGGCAUUUCUACUGAACGUCUCUGCGGAAACGUUACCGUUUUCUGAGAUUUUAUAACAGUUAUAAACUGACUGGAUCUAAAUUUCUAUUUCACCCUGAGAACGAGAGAGAAAAACAAAAAAAAAAAAACAUCUGCAAUUAAAUCGACACUUUAGAUUUAAUCGGUAUGACAUUUGAAAUCCGUUCUAUAAGAACGAUGCUUAAAUAUAUCACGAUACCCCCAAAGUGCAUUGCACCGUAACUGAUCACGAUAUCGUCAUCACGUCGUCAUAUUUCCCAGCCCUAACAUUACUGGCACUUUCCUCUUGUGUACACAGUGUAGAAGAAUCUAAAAACGUGUAUUUUUCUGGGUGUUUUGACACUCGGUACGUUUACAUGGACAACGAUAAUCCGAUUGAGACGAUACUCUGAUUAAGAAACUAGCAUGUAAACACAGAUUAUUGACGACCUUAAUCUGAUUAAAGUCACACUCGGAGUAAACACGGAUGGAAUUAAGACGUGCGGAGUAUUCCUGUUUUAGUCGCGUUAUGGACGUGCGUUACAGACGUGUACACACCUUAAUCACACUAUUAACGUCGUGUGGGAGUUUUCACCGCGUUGUGCGACAGGACGUGUACACACACG